GUGUUUUCAUUGAGGAGAACGUGUGUUUUAAGUGUAGGGGAGGGAACUAUUUCUUUAUUUUGUUUUCUUUCCGUUUUCUUCAUUUUUUUGUGUUUUCUUAAAUAAAUAAAUAAAUAAAUAAAAAUUACAUGUUGUUCUUUGGUUUUUGAGUUGCAAUUGUUUGUGAGUAAAUUCUUUGUUCUAUUGAUUAAGAAUUAUGGUGUGAUGUGAUUAUAUUUUUGUGUGUGCAUUCUUGGCAUGUUAAGUAGGAUUAAACUCUAGAUUGUGCAUCAUUUAUGAUAGAUCAUUAACCUUGUGAGAUUUUGAGUCUUUUAAUGGAUAACAUUAAAAAAUCUAUCUUUUUCUUUCUUGUUUGUUUCACUCAUGUCUGUUAGUCUCUAGAACUUGAAUUGACUCUUGUUGAAGCUUUUUGUUUACUUGUGCACACUGAUAUGAUAAAGACAUA
Molecule: long non-coding RNA, 445 nt
Filed under: Lathyrus oleraceus (garden pea)
Lineage: Eukaryota; Viridiplantae; Streptophyta; Magnoliopsida; Fabales; Fabaceae
Description: Pisum sativum (pea) long non-coding RNA (PSAT_LNC041800)
Source: RNAcentral